AUAAUGAUACUUCCGUCCAGCCACAGCCCUCCCUGAAAGGAGGAUGACGCAAUGGGGGCGGCCGCAGGAGAUCCCUGCGAGGGUGGAAUUCCCAUGA
RNAcentral lists this non-coding RNA (97 nucleotides) under unclassified sequences. Its description in RNAcentral is "pemK RNA". It matches the Rfam family "pemK RNA". The record is from RNAcentral.